Long non-coding RNA from Ictalurus punctatus (channel catfish), 904 nucleotides. The record is from Ensembl. Lineage: Eukaryota; Metazoa; Chordata; Actinopteri; Siluriformes; Ictaluridae.
AAAAAAAGAUAAUUUUAUUUAUUUUAUUUUUUUUUUAAGAAAAACAAAAAGGUCAGGGGUCUGCACUAUAUUUGGCCAUAUAUUGUGUAUUUGGAGUAUGAUCCUGCCGAUGAAUACAUUUUUAACAGAGUAAGAUGUGAAAAAAAUAAUGGAGUCUCGCGGUCUGGGAAUCGAACCCCGUCUUCCGCGCGGGAAACCAGGCAGAGGUACUGUCUACUACACUAACAAGGAACCACCGGCAAAUACAACGCCGACAGUGAAGUUAAUAUGAUGUUCGGUUGAGUUUUAUUUGCACAGCUGAAGCCGUUUAGUCCCAGUGACUAUAUUCACAUCAGUGGGGUCAGAAUUCAAAAAUAAAAUCGUUAAGGAACCAGAACUAUAUUAUAGAGCUACUAAACACUGCCGAAGAAAAGGUGAUAUAAACUACACACACACAUGGAAAAAAACCCAAAACGAAACAGAUAGUAGAGUAUAUUCUCGAUAAAUCCAAACACACAAUAUAUUGGAAUUGUUCUCUUUUUGAACAUAAGUAACAGCCCCACCUCGCAGUGGGGCUUCCAAAAAUUGUUCAUCCAUACAUUUUACCGCUUAUCCUUUGUUAUUCAAUGCCGAACAUUACGGUGGGAAGAGCAGAGCCUCACAAGAAAUAUAUUUCCACUCGACGUUUGUGUUGUUAUGGGAUGCAGAAGCUUGUGGUUCACUGUCUAAGCUGAGAGACUUAAAGCGUCAGUGACUGAGAUGACGGGACACACACUCUGUAGCGCGAUGACAGACAGACACACGUGCUGCUGAAUGAAAUAACCGAGAGCAGCCGAUGCAGCGUAGAUGAACGGUAAAGCCGCCUAUGGGUUCCUGCUCCUCAACAGACGGACUCUGUUUUUAAUUUUUGAAGGGUAAAAGUGAA